GGUUCCAUAGUGUAGUGGUUAGCACUCCAGACUUUGAAUCUGGCAACCUGGGUUCAAAUCCCGGUGGGACCU
Molecule: non-coding RNA, 72 nt
Organism: Oryza nivara
Lineage: Eukaryota; Viridiplantae; Streptophyta; Magnoliopsida; Poales; Poaceae
Source: Rfam